Long non-coding RNA from Pteropus alecto (black flying fox), 3886 nucleotides. RefSeq lists it as uncharacterized. The record is from RefSeq and is a predicted model, not a curated record. Lineage: Eukaryota; Metazoa; Chordata; Mammalia; Chiroptera; Pteropodidae. The transcript has 3 exons.
GCGCACCAGUGGGAAGGACCCAUCGGAAGCGGAGGGCUGACUGGUCCUGGCCGUGUCGCUUGGACAGGUGACUUCACUUUUUGGUCCCAUUUGUUUAGCUGUCUGGAAGUUAAAGCCAGGUGUCCGCAGGCUUGCUAGGUGGGUCUCGUACUCUGCGCGCUGACAGCCCGCCUGAAGUCUGCAGUGACUGCCCCCCAGCGGCUCCCCUAGGGCAGUCACCCCCGCCGCUCUCUGGCUUCAGGUCCCUCCGUAAGCUCAGGGCGCCCUCUGCGCCCUCUGCCCUCUGGAGCAGUAGGACCUGGGCUCCUGGCUGGGAAGGGCCUCCCGCGCUUCCUGACCCUGGAGCCCGUGGGACCGUGGAUAGGCCUCUGGGACCCGGGUGGGGCCCAGGACACGGCUUCCACUGAGGUCCAGCCCUGUUGGGGAGCUGGCUUUUUCCCGACGCGACUGGGAGCUCAAGACGAGGGGCUGUGGGGGCCGAUGUGAAGGGCCCCGACUGCAGAGAGGGGGCUAGUCCCCGGCCCGUCGCCCUGCCGUCGCAUUCCAGCGUGGUUACUGGGCUUGUGCGUGGGCGCAGGAUUGGGUGAGGGCCGGGACAGGAAGUUUGUCCGCGGCCCCAAAAUCUUUGACCCUGUUACUGGAGCGAUCACGGCCUGUGGGCGCUGAGCGUUAGAGUUAGAAGGGAACCAGCCCAGAGCCGUCCGGCCCCGUGGGCUGCGCAGAGAGCUACCCCAGGCAGCCAGGACCUGCCCUGAUUCUUGGGCAGAGCCCUCCCGCGCUGUCACGUCAUGCACACGGCUGGCGCUGCUUCCGCGGGGCGCUCAGGUGUGCGCACACGGGCUGGCCCAGCCCGACCCGGGUGGGGGAGGAGGCGCGUGGCUGCCCGUCGCCUUAGUUCAAAGCGGAGCCUCUGUGGGCGGCUGAGGCUUUGGAGCUGUGAGCUCUUUGACGUUGCCACAGGAGCUGGCAAGAGGGACAGCGCCCCAACGGCAGGCAGCCUGCUGGGGUCGGGAAGUGGCUCUGGACCCCUGGGACAUGGCUAAUUUGGAACCACCACCCACAGUGAAUAGAGGGGCCUGAUGGGGAAGGGCGAGGGUUUGGUUCUGAUCUAGAAGCAGGGGUGAGAGACGCCCUCAUUCCCCGGCCUGGGCGGGUGAGCGGUGUGCGUGAGCUGCCGCAGGGAGAACACGCCUCCUGAGCCCAGCCGACGUCGGAACCUGGGAUCCUAGAGGCCACCGCUCAGGCCUCUGCCCGCCCCCUCUGCUCCGUCCUCCUGGCCCUCAGCGACCACCACCGUUCCUGCUGCCCACCUGGUCUACCCAGAGGUCGUGUGGCUGGUCCCAGUCCCAGACAGGUGCUCCUGGUGGGUGCACGCCUCAGCCGAGGGGAGAGUGGCAGGUGACAGAUUCUUUGCUUGACCACUCUUCGGUUUGGCUCCUGAGGCCUCGACCAAGCCCAUCGGUGCCCUUCCUCAUAAAACCCAGCUUCGGGUGAAACUCUCCAUCCUCAACACCCGAUAAGGUUCUUGGCCCCCUGCCCUCCCCAGGUGACGUCCGGCCACCCCGCCCGCCUUCAGCUGGAACCCCUCACCCAGAUGUCUCCUCUCUGAUCAUCCAUUGCCCCCACCCUUCUCCUCUCCCGCGCAGGGAGAGACAGCUUCCCUUGACCCUCAGGUCCUGCUCCAUCCGACAGUUAAACUGACGACGGACCGGCAGAAGAAAAGCAUCCACGUCUGUUAAUUUCACAAGUGUCACGUGACAGGGGAGCCUUCGCCAGUCCACGGGGACCCACAAGAACAGUCAAACCUGAGCGUUUCAUGCCAGGUCUGCAGGAGUACAUGAUAGGUCAGGAGGUGAGGUCACGUGGUGAAUUGGGGGGCCUUGCAAGGCAUUUGUUCCCAUUUCUCCCUUUGUCUGCCCCCUUUCCUCCAGGUUUGGGGCACUUCUCACAUGAGGGUUCGAUGGCCUGGCUCGGGGAUUGAGGGGGUCUGUUUUCUUCAACUCCUCUCCCUUAAAAUCGUCAGCAUGCCCAACUGCCACACUUUGGGGUAAUGUGUCCUGAAACCCGUCACUACCGAGCCCCACUUGCCCACGCUGUAAUCCGACUUGAGGCCACCUCUCCCUCCCCCACUGCAAAAUGUCAUCACAGGGGUUUGAGCACUUGCUGCGGUGGCCCUGAAUAAAGUCAGCCUGCAGCCCCCAUCAAAAUGGUGAGGGGGCAGGAGGCCUCGCGGAAAGGGUGGUGGUGCCAAGCAGAUGGGGCAGUACUGCUCAGGAGUGCCGUGGCUGCUGUGAGGUGGCAGUGUGUGGUGCUGUCCCUUACCCCCUGCCCGACUGCGGGUCAGUUGCAUCCUUGAGCCUCAGGGCCCUGACUAUGCUGUGCCAACUCUGGAGUUCCUAACCCAUAGGGCAUGGCUAGCUCUGUCCCCUCCUUCAAGUCCCCUGGGAUGUCAUUUUCGCAGUGAGGACUUGUCAGAUCCCUGCUCCUUCUCGCCCACCUGCUCAGGUGUGAACUGGGCCCCCGUAAAUGGAUGGAGUAUCAUGGCGAAUGCACUCAUCCUGUUUGGUGGGUGGGGAAUACAGCAAGACUUAGCCCCUGCCGGCAUGUGGCAGGUCUGUGUCAUCACUGCUGUUAUUGUUGGGGUGGGGUGCUGCCGGGUGCUGGGAAGGGGCCACAGAACUUCCAGGGAGGGAGGGUCUCCCACGGGGACAUCUUAGCUGAGGCCCUGAGGGGUUAUCUGGGUGACAAGCAGGUGUGGAGCCGAAGAACCGAAGAACCGAAGAACCGUCAGAGUCAAGUUGCAAGCAGAGGGCAGGUUUUAUGGCAAGGGGAACGACCCUGAGAGACCACCUCAAAGAUUCGCUCAGGGCAGGAAGGAGAAUCAGUUUCAGAGUAGGUACAGAAACCACUCCUGGUGACAGGUUACGCCCCUGUGAACGACACCAGAGAGGUGGCUGACUGGUUCCCGAAACAAAUCUGUCACUGUAGUUCAUCACAUCAUCGCCUGAGCAUUUUGUCACGAUGCUAAUUUUGUGCCAGAGGAAGGUCUGCCAGACCAGGUGUGGGACAUCCAGGGGUCUAGGUGGGCUCAGGACUGGCCUCCCGAGGAGGUCUCGCAUCUGGUCUCGGACGUGUGGCGUGGCCUGGCCGUGGCAGGCUCUCUGCUGCCACCAUGUGGGCGUGGGCCAGAGGCACAGCUGUCGGGGAAGACGGGCCUCCAUCCGGUGGGUGCCUGGCAGCAGCACAGGAACUGGGUACUGCUGGCUGUUGUGCUCUGGUGACCAGAACCUGGGCUCACGACUGCCCACGUCGACGGAGCCGAGGGGCUGGAAACACCUCAGUGUGACGGAAGAGGCUCAUCCGAGGGCCACGUUGUGCUCGACCAGCCCGGCUGUUCUCUAGCCAUCCUGGGAGGACCUGAGGUGGCCUCGCCCGGACACGCAGUUCUUAAGGCACAGCGUGGUGGACACACUGGCGGCCAGACGAUGCAACCGCGUGCUCACUCCAGAGGCUCUCUGGGCGGGACACCCCCGGAGGCUCCCGAGGGUUCCCCUGCCUCAGUCCAGGAAGCACCAGCUACUUCGACAGCCUUCCAGGGACCUUGCAGCCACGGCUUCCACGUAUUAAAUUCUUGUCUGCAGACCAGCCACACGUGGGUCUGUAAUCGACACCCAAAGCCUAGCUGAGCGCUCAAGGAACUGGGCGGCCAUGGAGUGAGGGAUCGAUGGAUGACGUCAGAGCUUGGGGUGAGCUGGCAACCCGUGAUCAAGACGCCAAGGUCCUCAGGGAACGAAAAGGCGUGGCUGACCAGGCGGAACUCUUCUGGUCACUGCUCUGUCUUUCAUGCCUCCUGCUGUGGUGUGUAUAAAUGUUUUAAAACGCAGAA